RNAcentral lists this ribosomal RNA (321 nucleotides) under uncultured bacterium. RNAcentral's name for it is "bacterial SSU rRNA". It matches the Rfam family "Bacterial small subunit ribosomal RNA", at positions 29 to 334 of the family's 1533-position model. The record is from RNAcentral.
AACGAACGCUGGUGGCAUGCCUAAUACAUGCAAGUCGAACGAGAAAGCUCCUUCGGGAGUGAUUACAGUGGCGCACGGGUGAGUAACGCGUAGGUGACCUACCUACUAAUGGGGGACAACAUCGGGAAACCGGUGCUAAUACCGCAUGUGUUGAUCAAUUUUGAAAAUAGAUCAAGAAAGAUGGCCACUCCUUGGAAGCUAUCGUUAGUAGAAGGGCCUGCGUGGCAUUAGCUUGAUGGUGGGGUAAAGGCCUACCAUGGCUACGAUGCCUAACUGGUCUGAGAGGAUGAUCAGUCACACUGGAACUGAGACACGGUCCAG